CCUACGGGUGGCAGCAGUGGGGGAUAUUGCACAAUGGGGGAAACCCUGAUGCAGCGACGCCGCGUGUAGGAAGACGGUCCUCUGGAUUGUAAACUACUGUCCCCAGGGACGAAGAUGACGGUACCUGGGGAGGAAGCUCCGGCUAACUACGUGCCAGCAGCCGCGGUAAUACGUAGGGAGCGCGCGUUGUCCGGAAUUACUGGGUGUAAAGGGAGCGUAGGCGGGGAUGCAAGUUGGGGGUUAAAUCUACCGGCUCAACUGGUAGUCGCACUCAAAACUGCAGCUCUUGAGUGAAGUAGAGGCAGGCGGAAUGCCGAGUGUAGCGGUGAAAUGCGUAGAUAGUAGGAGGAACACCAGUGGCGAAGGCGGCCGGCUGGGCUUUUACUGACGCUGAGGCUCGAAAGUGUGGGGAGCAAACAGGAUUAGAUACCCCAGUAGUC
RNAcentral lists this ribosomal RNA (440 nucleotides) under uncultured bacterium. Its description in RNAcentral is "partial 16S ribosomal RNA". It matches the Rfam family "Bacterial small subunit ribosomal RNA", at positions 338 to 795 of the family's 1533-position model. The record is from RNAcentral.